AAGCACCGGUUACUCAAAGUUUAAGAAUUUUUAAUUUUUUUCUAUUCUACUAUUGUAAUGUUUAAAACAUCAUUUUCUCAGUUUGAAUAUUGUAAUUAUGUGAAAAAUUGAUUGCUUAUUUUAAGAAAAUUGUUUAUUUCAUCGUUGCAAUGUUAUCUAAUUACUGACAAUUGUGAGUAAUCUAAUGGCGCAACAAAAAGUGAAACCUGUAAUGGUUUUCAUGCAUGCUCUCCAUAGUCAACACUUUGAUACAUAAGUUCAGGUUUUUAAAUUAACACUACUCGUCGAUCAGUUAUUUAUUUGUAGUGGACUACAUGCUGAAACUUAGUGAUUUUUACAUUGACGGAAAAGAUAUCUAUAUAUCUAACAAAUUAUUUAUUCCUAUGCUUGAGUAUGGUCCGGUUUGUGUGCAUGAACAUUUGGUCAGAUACGUAUUUUAUGUAAUAUCAAUAGUAGUGGAUUGAGCCUAAUUGUGUGGUCCUCAUUUGUGGUAACGAACUGGUCUUCGCAACAUUGGGAGCUACUUCAACAGAGGGUUUUCGCUUAGGUUCAAA
This is a long non-coding RNA of Tetranychus urticae (two-spotted spider mite), 554 nucleotides long. RefSeq lists it as uncharacterized. Lineage: Eukaryota; Metazoa; Arthropoda; Arachnida; Trombidiformes; Tetranychidae. The record is from RefSeq and is a predicted model, not a curated record.